Long non-coding RNA from Dromaius novaehollandiae (emu), 2402 nucleotides. RefSeq lists it as uncharacterized. NCBI's taxonomy places the organism in Eukaryota, Metazoa, Chordata, Aves, Casuariiformes, Dromaiidae. The record is from RefSeq and is a predicted model, not a curated record. The transcript has 2 exons.
CAAAGAAAGUGUAAUAUUUAAAACGUAAAAGAAGUUGAUCGUCCUCUAGAAUGCCUUGUUCCAUUAGCGAUCGAGAUGAAUCUAGCCAGCUGCAGAAGAAAACAACCCACAAAUUCAUUUUUACAGGAAAAACUAUCACACCUGCAGAGCUCCAAUGUAAUUGUGAAACAAAAAUGAGAACGAACAGCUCUAAUUCCUGUGAACCUGGGGAAAAUUCAAACAACUUGAAAAGGCAGAACAUUCAUAUGGAUUUUCAACUCUGUGUAUGAAAACAACACCUAAAAUCUUUCCAGUUUUUCUCCAGCACUAGCCAAAAUCUUCUGCUUCAGAAGUAGAUGCCAGAAACAGAGCAGAAAAGAGUUAUGGGAUGAUCUACCAAAAGAUUCUUUCUUCUUGACCUCCAGAAAUGGGAAAUUAACUUAAGCCAAGCAUCACUCCUCCAAUAUGAAGGUCCCCUGAGACCCGUAGUAUAAAUUCCUUUUGCUCCUCUUCGUACUGAUGAUCGACUACCACCAGGAGCUCCCAAGAGUUGGACCCGUAUUCACUUGAGGAAGUCAUUUCUGGUAAUGUCUGUGAAGCUCUGCAGAGGAAAAAAAAAAGGAUUUUUUUUUAUUUCCCAUCUUUGAAAUAAAUGCAUCUCUCCAAAGUCCCAAAAUAUUUCCAUGCUGCCAAGACUUCACAGUGGCCUUGGCUGAAACUUCAGAUGUGGUAUCUUGUUAUCUCUGUACUAGUCUCUGCUUUUGUAGUUACUCUUACAAGAUAGAAAUGUGUGUGUGCAUUUUUUUUUUUUUAUUAUGAAUGUUUUGCAUUUUUUCCUAUCUCAAGCUCUCUUGUUGGGUAGAGACAGCCCAGUCUCACUCAAGUUUCCCCACUCUCCAGUGUUAAUCUGGCAGUUAGGACACCAUAAAGCCUGCAGUUUGCUGUCCAGUGAACAGAGUAGUUUCACUGAUUUGUGCACUUAUUGCUGUAAUUUUCCCUGUGGAUAAAAGUUUACGCUUGCAGCAAAGGCAGAUGAAUUCUGCCAACUUGGUGCCAUGGGACCAAAAGUGGAGUAGUUUUAUCCAUUUGGGUACAUCUGAGGGAAAACAAAAACUUUAAUGGCUCUCUGCCAUUCGAACUCUGUUUGAAUGGGGAGGAUGAAAUAACACUCAGACAUGAAAAAAAUCAAGAACUGGUGUUAAGAGGGACAAGCUGUCUCUGCAGGGGGUGGGGGGGAAAAACACAUGAUCCAGAGAACUCUGCAGUAAAAGGAUGGUACUAAGCCCUUUACAGUGCACUGCUUGUUGUCCAAAAAGCUCUUGGAAGUAUUAAAACCUUCCAGGCACCUAAUUGCAGUUCCUGCUGAUAGUCUGUUUGCACAGAGAUGUAACCAUGUAUCCUGUCUCAGCAGAGUGACUAGCCCGAAAUCCCACCAGGUUCCUGCUGGACAGGUAAACAGUAAUCAUGCCAAGCCAAACUACAGAAGAUGCUCAAAGCAGAAGCUCUGGUUAUGAUCAGUAGACUUCUGCUAAUUACUGAAGGAGCUUGCAAGUAUAAGGUGGCUGAUGCUGCAAGGAAGGAUUUAAUCAGUGAGAGAAGAGACCAGAUUAGCACCCAGCUGUCACGUUAAACCGAACCCUAAGAAAUGAACCUUUGCAGUUGAAGCUCAGGCAAUGAAAUGCAUGGUUCCAACCUACUGCAGACUUCCAGCAGUAUCUAGGAGCCCAAGUCACAGACAAAGACUCUGUUAAAGUAGGUAAACUACAAAUAUAGACUGCUUCUAAUAUAAAAAAUAACUAGGGUAUGUUUGCAAAGAAAGCUGGAGGAGACAUUAACAAUGUUAACAGAUUUCUGUAGCCCUUUUUAAAAAGCAUUUAGUAAGUUAAAACCAUCAGCCUAAAACUUAGCCCAGAAAGAAUCAAGGGCCAUGGUCACAGGUGAGGAGUGAGAGAAGAAAUGACCUUUUCUAGGACUGACCACAGUCAAAGAAAAAGACCAAACUAGCUUAGGUUACAAUAAUGUAAAGUUAAGCUAAAAGUUAUAUCUAGCAUGCCUAGAAACAGGAUGAAAAUUUAAGUACAUCUAUUUACAAAGCUGAUAAUAUUGAAGCUUUAUGUUACUGAUUAGAUAAUAAAAGAGGGUUUUAGUGCCAAAAGAUACUACUCCAAGGCGGAGCCCAGUUCAAAGUUCAUUCUGAGAUUCCCAUCCAGGGGCACAAAGAGGCCCUUUCAACUAAACAGCCAGCCUGUUCUAGCUAAAUCUUCAGACCUUCAGAUGUUAUUAAUGUUUCUUAACAUCUUAAGGGUUAAGAAUUUCAACAGUAAGACUUUUCUUAUUUUGUUGUGUUCACAAAAUUAUAUAUCAUGCAGUAUUUGUAUCAUGGAGUACAACAUAAAUUACAGUCAUCCAACCAUUUCAGUGAA